AGUAUGGUGUGAAUCUCCCGCUUACUGGGAGAGUGCGCUAUAGACUGUGGGACUAGAGUGUGAGGAGAGAAAGUAGAAUUCCUGGUGUAGCGGUGAAAUGCGUAGAUAUCAGGAAGAACACCGGUGGUGUAAACGGCUUUCUGGACCAUAACUGACGCUGAGGCACGAAAGCGUGGGUAGCAAACAGGAUUAGAUACCCUGGUAGUCCACGCCCUAAACGAUGCAUAUUUGGUGUGGGUCAUUCAGUUGAUCCGUGCCGGAGCUAACGCGUUAAAUAUGCCGCCUGGGGAGUACAGUCGCAAGGCUGAAACUCAAAGGAAUUGACGGGGGCCCGCACAAGCGGUGGAGCAUGUGGUUUAAUUCGACGCAACGCGAAGAACCUUACCUGGGCUCGAAAUGCUAUGGACCAGCUUAUGAAAGUAGGCCUUCCCGCAAGGGACCGUAGUAUAGGUGCUGCAUGGCUGUCGUCAGCUCGUGUCGUGAGAUGUUGGGUUAAGUCCCGCAACGAGCGCAACCCUUGUCCUGUGUU
This 529-nucleotide ribosomal RNA is filed under the name uncultured bacterium. RNAcentral's name for it is "bacterial SSU rRNA". It matches the Rfam family "Bacterial small subunit ribosomal RNA", at positions 586 to 1116 of the family's 1533-position model. The record is from RNAcentral.